Molecule: ribosomal RNA, 377 nt
Filed under: uncultured bacterium
Lineage: Bacteria
Description: bacterial SSU rRNA
Rfam family: Bacterial small subunit ribosomal RNA
Source: RNAcentral
UAAUACGGAGGGCGCAAGCGUUGUUCGGAAUUACUGGGCGUAAAGCGCGUGUAGGCGGUCUGGCAAGUCGGAUGUGAAAUCCCCGGGCUCAACCCGGGAACUGCAUCCGAAACUUCCAGGCUAGAGUUUCGGAGAGGAAGGCAGAAUUCCCAAUGUAGGGGUGAAAUCCGUAGAUAUUGGGAGGAAUACCAGUGGCGAAGGCGGCCUUCUGGACGAUGACUGACGCUGAGACGCGAAAGCGUGGGGAGCAAACAGGAUUAGAUACCCUGGUAGUCCACGCCGUAAACGGUGCGCACUAGGUGUCGGGGGUAUUCACCCCUCCGGUGCCGUAGCUAACGUACUAAGUGCGCCGCCUGGGAAGUACGGCCGCAAGGCUA